GAUUAACGCUGGCGGCGUGCAUAACACAUGCAAGUCGAACGAUGAAACUUAACUGAUUUCUUCGGAAUGAUUUUAAGUGGAUUAGUGGCGGACGGGUGAGUAACGCGUGAGUAACCUGCCUUGGAGAAGGGGAUAGCCUUUGGAAACGAAGAAUAAUACCCUAUGAUAUGAUAAUAUCUCAUGAUAUUAUCAUCAAAGAUUUAUCGCUCUAAGAUGGACUUGCGUCUGAUUAGUUAGUUGGUGAGGUAACAGCUCACCAAGGCAGCGAUCAGUAGCCGGCUUGAGAGAGUGUACGGCCACAUUGGGACUGAGACACGGCCCAGACUCCUACGGGAGGCAGCAGUGGGGAAUUUUGCACAAUGGGGGAAACCCGGAUGCAGCGACGCCGCGUGAUUUAGAAGGCCUUCGGGUUGUAAAAAUCUUUUGUAUGGGAAGAAAAUGACAGUACCAUACGAAUAAGGACCGGCUAAUUACGUG
Molecule: ribosomal RNA, 477 nt
Filed under: uncultured bacterium
Lineage: Bacteria
Description: partial 16S ribosomal RNA
Rfam family: Bacterial small subunit ribosomal RNA
Source: RNAcentral